Molecule: long non-coding RNA, 433 nt
Filed under: Numida meleagris (helmeted guineafowl)
Lineage: Eukaryota; Metazoa; Chordata; Aves; Galliformes; Numididae
Description: lncRNA (ENSNMEG00000006322.1)
Source: RNAcentral
UACUCAAUCCUUACUCCGAGGUUACUCAGCCCUUUCUUCAGGGUUCUUUGGCGCUUUGUCUCUGCUCAGCCCUUACUCUGGCUUUACUCCACCCUUAUUUAGGAGCAACCUGGUGCUUUGACAUUACUCAGCCCUUACUCUGAGUCUUACUCAGCCCUUACUCGGGGUCACCCCAUGCAUGCGUGCCCUUACUCAGCCCUUACUACAGGUUUGCUCAUGGGGUUGUGGCAGGGGCCUUACUCACCCCACACUUUUGAUUAUUCGGUACUUUGUCCCUACUCAAUCCUUACUCUGAGUUUACUCAGCCCUUACUUUGGGUGUUACCCGUUAUUAUUUCACUGCUCAGCCUUUACUCCAAGUCUGCUCAGCCCUUACUAAGAUAGUAUUUGAUGCUUUGUCCGUACUCAAUCCUUACUCUGAGCUUACUCAGCCC